UGACUGCAAGGCCUGAUAUCCAGU
This 24-nucleotide non-coding RNA is filed under the name Mus musculus (house mouse). The record is from RNAcentral. Lineage: Eukaryota; Metazoa; Chordata; Mammalia; Rodentia; Muridae.